This 2352-nucleotide long non-coding RNA is filed under the name Eucalyptus grandis. RNAcentral describes it as "long non-coding RNA (EGRA_LNC006194)". Lineage: Eukaryota; Viridiplantae; Streptophyta; Magnoliopsida; Myrtales; Myrtaceae. The record is from RNAcentral.
UUUGGUGAAACUCGUAGAAACUCCCCAAACACCACAGGUUGGAGAUACAGGCAAGAAUGAGCUAUGUCAAUAUGGAAAGGCAUUCCAAAGUUAUUUGCAAUUGGCGUUUAUCAUUUGCUCCAUGUUGUUUAUACUCUUUGAAGGAUUCUUGAUAAAGGCGUCCUCUUCUCAUGUGGUGUAUUAGUCCUUUGCAAGCUUUGAAAUCGUGUUAUUCUUUAACCAAGGCCCCAUCACUAAUCACUUGGAGGAAGACCGCAUGUGCAAGUGUUUCUAUAUGUGAAGUCAAGCAAAAAAUGAGAUUUGUUAACAAGAUGUCCACUUCAAGCUAUAGUUUUGUGACUAGGAGAGACUUUUUUCUUGAAAAAGCAGAUGCUGUGGAAUCAGCAAAUAAUCUGUCAAUUGCAGCCAAGAGUUUCAAUGAAUAGGUUUUCAAGAAGACAGUAGUUUCUCAUUUGGAAGAAUUUAGAACACAAAACAGAGGUGUUCAUUAGUGUAAAAUCAUUUAUCUAGGCUGGUUACGUCGGAAAGUUCAUAUGUAGGCAUUUUGCAAUCGCUUUGGUCGUAUUAUCUCAAACUUGAUUUAUUCAAGCAUGAAUCUAAAAGCAAAAGAGCCUUACCAAAAUAAAAAAUAAAAAAAUCUAAAAGCAGAAGAGACACAGCCGUGUACAUUUUCAUACCUAAAACCAAGUAGAGAGAUUAGUUCGUUCUUGAAGAGCAGCAUUACUUUUCCCCUUCCAGAUUCUCUUAGGUGGAUGCAUGGAGCUCGCGUCGCUUGGCAAAUUCUUGAUCAAGUACUGGGGUCUAGAGUGGAGCAUUGAGUUGUUUUAUGCAAAUUCUCGAUCAAAGGUUUGUCUUAGUCUCUAGUGUGGAUGGAGUUUAUAUAGGGUAUUUUUCUUGAACGAGAAUCGGUGCAUUUUUGGUUGGUGAUUAAGAAAUGUUAAAGUAGUUUUGGCUAGUCUGUCAUAUAUGAAUGUACACCUUUCUUAAAAUUACUGGUUGUCAAUAUGUUGCCUUGAAAUAUUAUCAAGCAAGGUAAACAGGUGCUGCUUACAUGACAGGUUUGGUUGGUCUAUGUAAUGAUCAAGGCUUACUUUGGGACUUAAAUUCAAUCAGCUGUAUUUAUGACUUUUUGCAUAAGUGGACAAGUUUUUGCCCGUCUGUGAAACAAGCUGGGGCGAGGAGCUCAAGAAUUUGUAAAUUAGUUUACAUCCCAUUUGAUCAUAUUGUUGUCAUGGAAUUAUUUUAUCACAUGACUGAAUUGGGUGUGGCUCACUUGGCUGAGGAACUUCAAAUUCCAUACCUAAGACCAAUUUUUUAGAGAAAGCAUCAGCAACAGCUAAGGUGCCAAAUUUGAAGAGGCUCGUGGGCCAAGCAGAAUGUUCUGAGGAAGUUUUGAUGCUUGUUAAGAUCCAAAACACUUGAUCUGGUCUCAACAGCUUGUACCUGAAUGAUAGUAAAUGUAGUUUUUUUAAAUUGAAUUUGUUGUUUGUAUGCUCGUUAUGUUCUAUCUCUUUGUUAAUCAAAUGAGUAGGUGGGGAUUUUUGUGUAUGUUACCCUGAUGCAGAGUUGUUUGAUGUGGUUGCAUUCUAAGGAUAUCACUUCUGAACUCGAUGAGGCUAUGCAGAGUUAGGUAUGCACCACUAAGCUCCUCCAUUUUUAUCUGUUUAUCCUUUGAAUGUUGUCAUAUAGGUUUCUGAUUUGAUAGGCUCAGUUCUCAUGUUUGCAGUAUUGAAUUAGUGAAGUUGAAAUUGACCUCCUCACAAUCUAUCUCGAAUUGCUGAUUUUGUUAAUUGGAUGUUGCCAAUGAUCAAGUAACAAGUAUGUCUUUCUGUUAUGUAGUUUAGGCAUUUCACCUUUUCAGUAUAAUUUUAUUAACAUCAAUUUUGUUCCUGAACACAAAAGGGGAAAGUGUUGUCACUAAUUGUUUACUUCUUUUAAGCCUAUUUUUUUUUUUUCAUCUGCUAGUUAAUGAAGUCUCUGUUCACUGUGGUUGAACAGCGAGUGGUGUAAAUGAUGUUUACACAUUUGUACCUUAUCUUUCAUGGGGUAAAUUUUGAUGCUACAAUCUCGCAUUUCUUUAUUUAUUGAUAAUGAGUCAGUCCUAUCCUCAUCAUGUAGAUUCAAGCUGCAUUUCAUGGAACUUGGAGAAAGCCCCCAAACACCACGCAAUGAGGAUGAGGGCAGGAAUGAGCUAUUUCAUUAUGAAAAUGUAUUCUGAACCUAGUGGCGUUUAUCAUGUGCUCCGUGUUGUUAACUCUUCAAAGGAUUCUGGAUAUAAAGCAGCCUCCUAAUGUGGGGUAUUUGUCCUUUGUAACCACAAAUCGCUUGCAGGAAGACCGCACGUGCAGGUGG